This 468-nucleotide ribosomal RNA is filed under the name uncultured bacterium. RNAcentral describes it as "partial 16S ribosomal RNA". It matches the Rfam family "Bacterial small subunit ribosomal RNA", at positions 28 to 507 of the family's 1533-position model. The record is from RNAcentral.
GACGAACGCUGGCGGCGUGCUUAACACAUGCAAGUCGAACGGAAAGGCCCUGCUUUUGUGGGGUGCUCGAGUGGCGAACGGGUGAGUAACACGUGAGUAACCUGCCCUUGACUUUGGGAUAACUUCAGGAAACUGGGGCUAAUACCGGAUAGGAGCUCCUGCUGCAUGGUGGGGGUUGGAAAGUUUCGGCGGUUGGGGAUGGACUCGCGGCUUAUCAGCUUGUUGGUGGGGUAGUGGCUUACCAAGGCUUUGACGGGUAGCCGGCCUGAGAGGGUGACCGGCCACAUUGGGCCUGAGAUACGGCCCAGACUCCUUCGGGAGGCAGCAGUGGGGAAUAUUGCACAAUGGGCGGAAGCCUGAUGCAGCAACGCCGCGUGCGGGAUGACGGCCUUCGGGUUGUAAACCGCUUUCGCCUGUGACGAAGCGUGAGUGACGGUAAUGGGUAAAGAAGCACCGGCUACCUACGUG